This 474-nucleotide ribosomal RNA is filed under the name uncultured bacterium. RNAcentral describes it as "bacterial SSU rRNA". It matches the Rfam family "Bacterial small subunit ribosomal RNA", at positions 335 to 798 of the family's 1533-position model. The record is from RNAcentral.
ACUCCUACGGGAGGCAGCAGUGGGGAAUAUUGCACAAUGGGGGAAACCCUGAUGCAGCCAUGCCGCGUGUGUGAAGAAGGCCUUCGGGUUGUAAAGCACUUUCAGUAGGGAGGAAGGUAGUGUAGUUAACACCUGCACUAUUUGACGUUACCUACAGAAGAAGCACCGGCUAACUCCGUGCCAGCAGCCGCGGUAAUACGGAGGGUGCGAGCGUUAAUCGGAAUUACUGGGCGUAAAGCGCAUGCAGGCGGCCUGUUAAGUCAGAUGUGAAAGCCCGGGGCUUAACCUCGGAAUUGCAUUUGAAACUGGCAGGCUAGAGUCUUGUAGAGGGGGGUAGAAUUUCAGGUGUAGCGGUGAAAUGCGUAGAGAUCUGAAGGAAUACCAGUGGCGAAGGCGGCCCCCUGGACAAAGACUGACGCUCAGAUGCGAAAAGCGUGGGGAGCAAACAGGAUUAGAUACCCUGGUAGCGUCGAC